RNAcentral lists this ribosomal RNA (253 nucleotides) under uncultured Hydrocarboniphaga sp. RNAcentral describes it as "partial 16S ribosomal RNA". It matches the Rfam family "Bacterial small subunit ribosomal RNA", at positions 524 to 776 of the family's 1533-position model. The record is from RNAcentral. Lineage: Bacteria; Pseudomonadati; Pseudomonadota; Gammaproteobacteria; Nevskiales; Nevskiaceae.
UACAGAGGGUGCAAGCGUUAAUCGGAUUUACUGGGCGUAAAGCGUGCGUAGGUGGUGACAUCAGUCGGAUGUGAAAGCCCUGGGCUUAACCUGGGAACUGCAUUCGAUACUGUGUGACUAGAGUUCGGUAGAGGGCGGCGGAAUUCCGGGUGUAGCGGUGAAAUGCGUAGAUAUCCGGAGGAACACCGAUGGCGAAGGCAACCGCCUGGGCCUGAACUGACACUGAGGCACGAAAGCGUGGGGAGCAAACAGG